GCUGGUCCUGGUGUACGCGGCACCGACACCGGCCGCCUGUGCGGUGGCGGUGAGGGCGAGCGCGCCGCCGCCGGCGAGGGCCGCGGCCACGAGGCCGCCU
This 100-nucleotide transfer RNA is filed under the name Streptomyces thermodiastaticus. RNAcentral describes it as "tRNA-His". The record is from RNAcentral. Lineage: Bacteria; Bacillati; Actinomycetota; Actinomycetes; Kitasatosporales; Streptomycetaceae.